UUUAACUAUCAUGCGUUCUGGUAUUUAGCGGUUUUUAAGUGUACGUUUAUGUAUGUCGCCGUGUUUGAUACAUUGUCAAAACACCAGUGCUUGUUUGUGUCUGUCUCUGACAGUGAAAGGCUGUUGACAAGUCUCAGUUAAAUAUAGUUCUACCAGCAGGGCGCGCUAAUGUAUUAGCUAGCAUGUUAGCAUUCAAACAAAGACAUAGCCGACUGAGUUCUUUCAUUUUGAGCAACAAAAAAAGAAACAUUACCAUUUAAGUAGAGAGAAGCAGUGAGGAACAUGGCGAAGUGUGACCGUGCCAUGUUUGAAGAACCUCCAGCCCCUGACUGACGUGAAGUGGCCCCGUUCCAUCCUGCAGACAUGCACAGACACAGUCAAACAUCAUCAAACAUCAGUCUGUCAAAGAUUGGCUUCGAAUGAUCGGAAAUCCACUGUCACAGAUGAUCUACAAAAAUUGAAUAGUUAAACUGAAAUCCUGUGGAAUUACAACUAGAGCGACAUUGGCCACACUGCUAGACCCUCAGCCACC
Molecule: long non-coding RNA, 532 nt
Filed under: Gouania willdenowi (blunt-snouted clingfish)
Lineage: Eukaryota; Metazoa; Chordata; Actinopteri; Blenniiformes; Gobiesocidae
Description: lncRNA (ENSGWIG00000022988.1)
Source: RNAcentral